Molecule: ribosomal RNA, 440 nt
Filed under: Hypopygus neblinae
Lineage: Eukaryota; Metazoa; Chordata; Actinopteri; Gymnotiformes; Rhamphichthyidae
Description: partial 16S ribosomal RNA
Rfam family: Bacterial large subunit ribosomal RNA
Source: RNAcentral
ACCGUGCAAAGGUAGCGCAAUCACUUGUCCUUUAAAUGAGGACCUGUAUGAAAGGCAAGACGAGGGCUUUACUGUCUCUCCUCUCAAGUCAGUGAAAUUGAUCUGCCCGUGCAGAAGCGGACAUUCUAAUACAAGACGAGAAGACCCUUUGGAGCUUAAGACACAAGCCAACUAUGUCAAUGGAACCCUAAACUAAAUAGUACUGGCCCCAGUCUUCGGUUGGGGCGACCGCGGGGGAAAACAAAGCCCCCAUGUGGAAUGAGGAUAACCCCUUACAACCAAGAAAAACCUUUCCAAGUCACAGAACUUCUGACCAAAAGAUCCGGCCACCGCCGAUUAACGAACCAAGUUACCCAAGGGAUAACAGCGCAAUCCCCUCCAAGAGUCCCCAUCGACAAGGGGGUUUACGACCUCGAUGUUGGAUCAGGGCCUCCUAAUGG